GACAGAGGGUGCAAACGUUGUUCGGAAUUCCUGGGCGUAAAGCGAGUGUAGGCGGUUUCCUAAGUCCGGGGUGAAAGCCCCGGGCUCAACCCGGGAAGUGCACUUGAAACUGGGAGGCUAGAGUAUCGGAGAGGUUGGUGGAAUUCUCGGUGUAGAGGUGAAAUUCGUAGAUAUCGAGAGGAACACCGGUGGCGAAGGCGGCGACCUGGUCCGAUACUGACGCUGAGGCGCGAAAGCGUGGGGAGCAAACAGG
Molecule: ribosomal RNA, 253 nt
Filed under: uncultured bacterium
Lineage: Bacteria
Description: partial 16S ribosomal RNA
Rfam family: Bacterial small subunit ribosomal RNA
Source: RNAcentral